AACAACCUUGCUGCUCUCCAGGGCUG
RNAcentral lists this unclassified non-coding RNA (26 nucleotides) under Mus musculus (house mouse). RNAcentral's name for it is "oocyte_clustered_small_RNA7193". Lineage: Eukaryota; Metazoa; Chordata; Mammalia; Rodentia; Muridae. The record is from RNAcentral.